This is a long non-coding RNA of Bos grunniens (domestic yak), 1662 nucleotides long. Lineage: Eukaryota; Metazoa; Chordata; Mammalia; Artiodactyla; Bovidae. The record is from Ensembl.
AUGGAGUCAGAGAACAGAGGAAGGGCCUGGUCUGAAGAGGAAGCUGCUGUGGGCAGUGUAGGGACAGGCUCAGUUCCGGUGACAGUGAGAAAAUCUCAAGGAGAACGGCUUGGAGCUCCAGAGACGGGGGUGGCAUGGAGGAGAGACUCUGGGACCUCUCAAAGCCCGAGACCAUCCCUUUGGCACCAUGGGAUAAACCUUAAUCCCCUCCUCCCAAGGUUUGUAUCCAGGGAACCUCAGGCUAGGAUGAAUAUUCCCCAAGUAAGAGGCAAUCCCAGCACUGUGACUGUUGCCAAGAAAAUGAACCACAGGCACAGAUGUCUAAGAUAUGACUCACAACUCAAUACAGUGUCUCUUACCUCACUCACCCGGAAGUUAAGCUAUCCCAAUGGGUGGGAAGUGGUAUCUCAUUGAGGCUUUGGUCUGCACUUCCCCUGAUGAAUAAUAAUGUUGAGUAUUUUUUCAAUGGGCUUGUUGUCCAUUCGCAUAUCUUCUUUGGAGAAAUAUCUAUUCAUAUAUUUCACCCAUUUUUAAUGGAAUUAUUUGUCUUUUUACUGUUUGUAAAAAGUAUUUGUAAAAAUUGUUUGGCUUUUUACGGUUGAGUUGUGAGAGUUCUUUAUACAUUCUCAAUGCAGGUCCCUUAUCAAAUAUAUGAUUUGCAAAUAUUUUCCCCCAUUCUGAGAGUUAUCUCUUCACUUUCCUGAUGGUGUCCUUUAGAGCACAAAGGUUUUUAGUUUGGGGGCUGCACCACGCAGCAUGCGGGGAUCUUAGUUCCUUGACCAGGGAUCGAACCCAUGGCUCGUACAGUGGAAGCACAGAGUCUUAGACCAUCAGGGAAGUCCAAACGUUUUUAAUUUUUAUGCCAUCCAAUUUAUGUGGAUUUUUUUUCCCCUCGCCACUUGUGCUUUUGGUGUAGUGUCGAAAAGAACCCGUCGCCUGAUCCAAGGCCACGAAGAGUUACUGCUGUGCUUCCUUCUAAGAAUUUUUAUAGUUUUAGUGUUGUGUUUUGUUUUUUAAACGGUAUGAGGUAGCAAUCCAACCACAUUCUUUUACAUGCAGCUAUCUAGCACUGUUUGCUGAAAAGACUAUUCUUCCUACCCUAUACUGUCUCAGCACCCUGACGGAAAAUUAAUUGACUGUAAGUGUAAGGGCUUAUUCUCAAUUCUAUUUCACUGAUCUAUACGUCUACCCAGUAGUAGCAUCUUGAUUCCUGUAGGUUUGCACUAACUAUACAUUUUAAACAAUACAUAUCACGGCUUGGCUAGGUGGGAGAGAAGCGCGAGCAGAGGAGGUGGGGGCCCUCUGACCCGCUCCCAGGGCUGAGGGGGUCCACCCUCUUCUCUGCUCCUCGACAGCUGCCUGCCCGGCCUCCCCUGGAUGUGGCCUCCAAUGCUCUAGGUUUUCACUGGGAGGAAGCUAGAGCCUCCCAAGAAGGAACCCCGCACCCUGGCCGCCCACGCGACUGCCGCUGGGAGGUGCCGUCUCUUACCCCAAGUUUUCUGCCUUCCAUUCCUGGGGCCCUGGAAUCAAAGCGGGAAAAUCAAGAAGCUGGAUAGUGAGCAAGUGGGCUACACCAAUUACUUGUUAAUUACAUACCAAUGGGCCCGUAGGCGCCGGGAGCCGGGCCGGGGCUGCUGGAGUGGUCCGAACCACUCGGAGGAG